AAGAAAAUCUCUCCUAUCUCCCAAUACCGAUUAUCAUCAUCAUCUACAUCUUCCGAAUAAUACAUCUUCAUCAUCUUCAUCUUCAUCAUCUUUAUCAGCUUCAUCAGCUUCAUCGAUAACAAUCCAAGAAUGGCUGCGGAUGUAAAGAUACGCAAAACACCAACUACGAAGGCGAGAACACUUGACAACCUCCUAGAAGAUGGUGCGGUGCACAUAAGGAAGUGAUUGAUAU
Molecule: long non-coding RNA, 232 nt
Organism: Helianthus annuus (common sunflower)
Lineage: Eukaryota; Viridiplantae; Streptophyta; Magnoliopsida; Asterales; Asteraceae
Exons: 2
Source: RefSeq, a predicted model, not a curated record